This 254-nucleotide ribosomal RNA is filed under the name uncultured bacterium. RNAcentral's name for it is "partial 16S ribosomal RNA". It matches the Rfam family "Bacterial small subunit ribosomal RNA", at positions 556 to 811 of the family's 1533-position model. The record is from RNAcentral.
GGGCGUGAGCGCGCGCAGCGGUUCCUUAAGUCUGAUGUGAAAGCCCCCGGCUCAACCGGGGAGGGUCAUUGGAAACUGGGGAACUUGAGUGCAGAAGAGGAGAGCGGAAUUCCACGUGUAGCGGUGAAAUGCGUAGAGAUGUGGAGGAACACCAGUGGCGAAGGCGGCUCUCUGGUCUGUAACUGACGCUGAGGCGCGAAAGCGUGGGGAGCAAACAGGAUUAGAUACCCUGGUAGUCCACGCCGUAAACGAUG